This 628-nucleotide ribosomal RNA is filed under the name Papiliotrema laurentii. RNAcentral describes it as "eukaryotic LSU rRNA". It matches the Rfam family "Eukaryotic large subunit ribosomal RNA", at positions 50 to 667 of the family's 3401-position model. Lineage: Eukaryota; Fungi; Basidiomycota; Tremellomycetes; Tremellales; Rhynchogastremaceae. The record is from RNAcentral.
GCGGAGGAAAAGAAACUAACAAGGAUUCCCCUAGUAACGGCGAGUGAACCGGGAAGAGCUCAAAUUUGAAAUCUGGCGUCCUCAGGGCGUCCGAGUUGUAAUCUAUAGAGGCGUUUUCCGUGCCGGACCGUGUCCAAGUUCCUUGGAACAGGAUAUCAAAGAGGGUGACAAUCCCGUACUUGACACGACGACCGGUGCUCUGUGAUACGUCUUCUACGAGUCGAGUUGUUUGGGAAUGCAGCUCAAAAUGGGUGGUGAGUUCCAUCUAAAGCUAAAUAUUGGCGAGAGACCGAUAGCGAACAAGUACCGUGAGGGAAAGAUGAAAAGCACUUUGGAAAGAGAGUUAAACAGUACGUGAAAUUGUUGAAAGGGAAACGAUUGAAGUCAGUCGUGACCGAGAGGCUCAGCCGGUUCUGCCGGUGUAUUCCCCUCGGUCGGGUCAACAUCAGUUUUGUCCGGUGGAUAAGGGCGGUAGGAAGGUGGCACCCUCGGGUGUGUUAUAGCCUGCCGUCGCAUACAUCGGGUGAGACUGAGGAACGCAGCUCGCCUUUAUGGCCGGGGUUCGCCCACGUCCGAGCUUAGGAUGUUGACAUAAUGGCUUUAAACGACCCGUCUUGAAACACGGACC